RNAcentral lists this ribosomal RNA (877 nucleotides) under Klebsiella pneumoniae. RNAcentral's name for it is "partial 23S ribosomal RNA". It matches the Rfam family "Bacterial large subunit ribosomal RNA", at positions 890 to 1767 of the family's 2925-position model. The record is from RNAcentral. Lineage: Bacteria; Pseudomonadati; Pseudomonadota; Gammaproteobacteria; Enterobacterales; Enterobacteriaceae.
UCAUCUUCGGGGGUAGAGCACUGUUUCGGCUAGGGGGUCAUCCCGACUUACCAACCCGAUGCAAACUACGAAUACCGAAGAAUGUUAUCACGGGAGACACACGGCGGGUGCUAACGUCCGUCGUGAAGAGGGAAACAACCCAGACCGCCAGCUAAGGUCCCAAAGUCAUGGUUAAGUGGGAAACGAUGUGGGAAGGCACAGACAGCCAGGAUGUUGGCUUAGAAGCAGCCAUCAUUUAAAGAAAGCGUAAUAGCUCACUGGUCGAGUCGGCCUGCGCGGAAGAUGUAACGGGGCUAAACCAUGCACCGAAGCUGCGGCAGCGACACUAUGUGUUGUUGGGUAGGGGAGCGUUCUGUAAGCCUGCGAAGGUGUGCUGUGAGGCAUGCUGGAGGUAUCAGAAGUGCGAAUGCUGACAUAAGUAACGAUAAAGCGGGUGAAAAGCCCGCUCGCCGGAAGACCAAGGGUUCCUGUCCAACGUUAAUCGGGGCAGGGUGAGUCGACCCCUAAGGCGAGGCCGAAAGGCGUAGUCGAUGGGAAACAGGUUAAUAUUCCUGUACUUGGUGUUACUGCGAAGGGGGGACGGAGAAGGCUAUGUUAGCCGGGCGACGGUUGUCCCGGUUUAAGCAUGUAGGCUGGUUGUCCAGGCAAAUCCGGAUAAUCAAGGCUGAGGUGUGAUGACGAGGCACUACGGUGCUGAAGUAACAAAUGCCCUGCUUCCAGGAAAAGCCUCUAAGCAUCAGGUAACAUCAAAUCGUACCCCAAACCGACACAGGUGGUCAGGUAGAGAAUACCAAGGCGCUUGAGAGAACUCGGGUGAAGGAACUAGGCAAAAUGGUGCCGUAACUUCGGGAGAAGGCACGCUGGUGUGUAGGUGAAG